AGCUCAAUAGCUCAGUUGGUUAGAGCGCCAAUCUUGUAAACUGGAGGUCGAGAUUCCUACUGGAGCCA
Potamilus streckersoni is the source of this 68-nucleotide non-coding RNA. The record is from the annotation of a GenBank genome assembly. NCBI's taxonomy places the organism in Eukaryota, Metazoa, Mollusca, Bivalvia, Unionida, Unionidae.